Molecule: long non-coding RNA, 238 nt
Filed under: Elaeis guineensis (African oil palm)
Lineage: Eukaryota; Viridiplantae; Streptophyta; Magnoliopsida; Arecales; Arecaceae
Description: long non-coding RNA (EGUI_LNC010389)
Source: RNAcentral
CCAUAGAAUUUCAUCUUGUCUUCUCUUGCGCCUCUCUUUUGAUACUAUGAUCUUCACCGUACCCUUCCUGUAACCACUUAUCUCUUUCUUUUUCCUUCGUGGUAACCAUUCUUGCAUUAAUUAUUCAACUAAUUGGGGGAGGUUUUGCUCCCUCCGUUACAUACCCAAAAAAAGUGGGCAUUUUCAUUUGUUCUCUCUUUUUUACCAUUUGCUGCUCAAAAAAGGUUUCGAGCAAACG